RNAcentral lists this ribosomal RNA (427 nucleotides) under uncultured bacterium. Its description in RNAcentral is "partial 16S ribosomal RNA". It matches the Rfam family "Bacterial small subunit ribosomal RNA", at positions 355 to 774 of the family's 1533-position model. The record is from RNAcentral.
UGGGGAAUGUUGCACAAUGGGCGCAAGCCUGAUGCAGCCAUGCCGCGUGUAUGAAGAAGGCCUUCGGGUUGUAAAGUACUUUCAGCGAGGAGGAAGGCGGUAAGGUUAAUAACCUUAUCGAUUGACGUUACUCGCAGAAGAAGCACCGGCUAACUCCGUGCCAGCAGCCGCGGUAAUACGGAGGGUGCAAGCGUUAAUCGGAAUUACUGGGCGUAAAGCGCACGCAGGCGGUCUGUCAAGUCGGAUGUGAAAUCCCCGGGCUCAACCUGGGAACUGCAUUCGAAACUGGCAGGCUAGAGUCUUGUAGAGGGGGGUAGAAUUCCAGGUGUAGCGGUGAAAUGCGUAGAGAUCUGGAGGAAUACCGGUGGCGAAGGCGGCCCCCUGGACAAAGACUGACGCUCAGGUGCGAAAGCGUGGGGAGCAAACA